CCUACGGGGAGCUGCAGUGAGGAAUAUUGGUCAAUGGACGAGAGUCUGAACCAGCCAAGUAGCGUGAAGGAUGACUGCCCUAUGGGUUGUAAACUUCUUUUAUAUGGGAAUAAAACGUUCCACGUGUGGGAUUUUGUAUGUACCAUAUGAAUAAGGAUCGGCUAACUCCGUGCCAGCAGCCGCGGUAAUACGGAGGAUCCGAGCGUUAUCCGGAUUUAUUGGGUUUAAAGGGAGCGUAGGUGGAUUGUUAAGUCAGUUGUGAAAGUUUGCGGCUCAACCGUAAAAUUGCAGUUGAAACUGGCAGUCUUGAAUACAGUAGAGGUGGGCGGAAUUCGUGGUGUAGCGGUGAAAUGCUUAGAUAUCACGAAGAACUCCGAUUGCGAAGGCAGUUCACUGGACUGCAACUGACACUGAGGCUCGAAAGUGUGGGUAUCAAACAGGAUUAGAUACCCGGUAGUC
Molecule: ribosomal RNA, 459 nt
Filed under: uncultured bacterium
Lineage: Bacteria
Description: partial 16S ribosomal RNA
Rfam family: Bacterial small subunit ribosomal RNA
Source: RNAcentral